Molecule: long non-coding RNA, 844 nt
Filed under: Trifolium pratense (red clover)
Lineage: Eukaryota; Viridiplantae; Streptophyta; Magnoliopsida; Fabales; Fabaceae
Description: long non-coding RNA (TPRA_LNC003299)
Source: RNAcentral
CGAACCCACAAUAUCUUCCUUCGCAGCAGAAUGCUAACAUGAGACCGCCUCAAUCACAGGGGUUUGCCGGUUCAGUUGGGAACCAGCAAUAUAUACCUUCCCAGCAGAGUGCUAACAUGAGACCACCUCAAUCACAGGGGUUUGCAAGUUCUGUUGGGAACCAGCAAUAUCUACCUUCCCAGCAGAGUGCUAACAUGAGACCACCUCAAUCACAGGGGUUCCCAGGUUUUGUUGCAAACCAGCAAUAUCCACCUUCCCAGCAGAGUCCUACCAUGAGACUACCUCAAUCACAGGGGUUCCCGGGUUCUGUUGCAAACCAGCAAUAUCCAUCUUCCCAGCAGAGUCCUAUCAUGAGACCACCUCAAUCACAGGGGUUAGCCGGUUCUGUUCCAAACCAGCAAUAUCUUCCUUCCCAGCAGAGUCCGACCAUGAGACCAACUCAAUCCAUGCCUGCUGGUAGUGCCCCUGGUCCACAACAAUUCAUGCCUGCUGGUAACACUCCCCGUCCACAACAAUCAUUGCCCGCUGGCACAUCCCCUCAUCCACAACAGGGCUUUGCAGGUCCCAAUCUCUCAAAUGCUAGCAUCUCAAAUGAUUGGAAUGGUGGAAGGACUGGUAUGGCUCCUUCUAGGCCUGCAGGAAUCACUCCAUCAGUUGCCUUAUCAACACCAACAUCACCAUCUCCGGUCUCACCAAUGUCACAGCCAACAGCUGUUACCACUAAAGCAUUGGCUGUUUCUGGAAAUGGGUACCCUUCAAAUUCAGUUUUGGACGAAGAUUUAUUCUCUACUGCUGCAUCCACACCGAAACAAGACCCUACUCGACAGAAUUAUAAUGUUAGCAG